UUAAGUGCAUGUGGUGGAUGCCUUGGCAGUCAGAGGCGAUGAAAGACGUGAUAGCCUGCGAAAAGCUCCGGGGAGGCGGCAAAUAUCCUUUGAUCCGGAGAUGUCUGAAUGGGGGAACCCACCUACUUUAAGGUAGGUAUUGCAACAUGAAUACAUAGUGUUGCAAGGCGAACGAGGGGAAGUGAAACAUCUCAGUACCCUUAGGAAAAGAAAUCAAUUGAGAUUCCCUCAGUAGCGGCGAGCGAACGGGGAUCAGCCCAUUAAGUUAUGUGUGUUUUAGUGGAACGCUCUGGGAAGUGCGAACGUAGAGGGUGAUAUUCCCGUACACGAAAGGGCACACAUAAUGAUGACGAGUAGGGCGAGGCACGUGAAACCUUGUCUGAAUAUGGGGGGACCAUCCUCCAAGGCUAAAUACUCCUGACUGACCGAUAGUGAACCAGUACCGUGAGGGAAAGGCGAAAAGAACCCCUGUGAGGGGAGUGAAAUAGAUCCUGAAACCGCAUGCAUACAAGCAGUGGGAGCACCUUCGUGGUGUGACUGCGUACCUUUUGUAUAAUGGGUCAGCGACUUAUAUUCAGUAGCGAGGUUAACCGUAUAGGGGAGCCGUAGAGAAAUCGAGUCUUAAUAGGGCGUUUAGUUGCUGGGUAUAGACCCGAAACCAGGCGAUCUAUCCAUGAGCAGGUUGAAGGUUGGGUAACACUAACUGGAGGACCGAACCCACUGUCGUUGAAAAGCCAGGGGAUGACUUGUGGAUAGGGGUGAAAGGCUAAUCAAGCCUGGUGAUAGCUGGUUCUCCCCGAAAGCUAUUUAGGUAGCGCCUCGGACGAAUACCAUAGGGGGUAGAGCACUGUUUCGGCUAGGGGGUCAUCCCGACUUACCAAACCGAUGCAAACUCCGAAUACCUAUGAGUACUAUCCGGGAGACAGACUGCGGGUGCUAACGUCCGUAGUCAAGAGGAAAACAAUCCAGACCGCCAGCUAAGGCCCCAAAAUCAUAGUUAAGUGGGAAACGAUGUGGGAAGGCAUAGACAGCUAGGAGGUUGGCUUAGAAGCAGCCACCCUUUAAAGAAAGCGUAAUAGCUCACUAGUCGAGUCGGCCUGCGCGGAAGAUGUAACGGGGCUAAAACUAUGUGCCGAAGCUGCGGAUGUAUACNUUGUANACGUGGUAGGGGAGCGUUCUGUAAGCCGAUGAAGGUGUGUUGAGAAGCAUGCUGGAGGUAUCAGAAGUGCGAAUGCUGACGUGAGUAACGACAAAACGGGUGAAAAACCCGUUCGCCGAAAGACCAAGGGUUCCAGUCCAACGUUAAUCGGGGCUGGGUGAGUCGACCCCUAAGGCGAGGCCGAAAGGCGUAGUCGAUGGGAAAAUGGUUAAUAUUCCAUUACUUCUGUGUAAUGCGAUGAGAGGACGGAGAAGGCUAAAUCAGCCUGGCGUUGGUUGUCCAGGUGAAAGGAUGUAGGCAUGUAUCUUAGGCAAAUCCGGGGUACUCUAUGCUGAGAUCUGAUAGCAAGCUGUACUUGUACAGCGAAGUGGUUGAUGCCAUGCUUCCAGGAAAAGUCUCUAAGCUUCAGUUACACAGGAAUCGUACCCGAAACCGACACAGGUGGUCAGGUCGAGUAGACCAAGGCGCUUGAGAGAACUCUGCUGAAGGAACUAGGCAAAAUGGUACCGUAACUUCGGGAGAAGGUACGCUGUUGUUGGUGAUGGAACUCGCUUCCUGAGCUGACGACAGCCGCAGAAACCAGGCCGCUGCAACUGUUUAUUAAAAACAUAGCACUCUGCAAACACGAAAGUGGACGUAUAGGGUGUGAUGCCUGCCCGGUGCUGGAAGGUUAAUUGAUGGGGUUAGCGUAAGCGAAGCUCUUGAUCGAAGCCCCAGUAAACGGCGGCCGUAACUAUAACGGUCCUAAGGUAGCGAAAUUCCUUGUCGGGUAAGUUCCGACCUGCACGAAUGGCAUAAUGAUGGCGGCGCUGUCUCCAGCAGAGGCUCAGUGAAAUCGAAAUCGCUGUGAAGAUGCAGUGUACCCGCGGCUAGACGGAAAGACCCCGUGAACCUUUACUGCAGCUUGACACUGAACUUUGACCUUACUUGUGUAGGAUAGGUGGGAGGCUUUGAAGCUGGAACGCUAGUUCCAGUGGAGCCGUCCUUGAAAUACCACCCUGGUAAUGUUGAGGUUCUAACUCUGUCCCGUGAUCCGGGACGAGGACCGUGUCUGGUGGGUAGUUUGACUGGGGCGGUCUCCUCCUAAAGAGUAACGGAGGAGUACGAAGGUGCGCUCAGCGUGGUCGGAAAUCACGCGUAGAGUAUAAAGGCAAAAGCGCGCUUAACUGCGAGACCCACAAGUCGAGCAGGUACGAAAGUAGGUCUUAGUGAUCCGGUGGUUCUGUAUGGAAGGGCCAUCGCUCAACGGAUAAAAGGUACUCUGGGGAUAACAGGCUGAUACCGCCCAAGAGUUCAUAUCGACGGCGGUGUUUGGCACCUCGAUGUCGGCUCAUCUCAUCCUGGGGCUGAAGCAGGUCCCAAGGGUAUGGCUGUUCGCCAUUUAAAGAGGUACGCGAGCUGGGUUUAGAACGUCGUGAGACAGUUCGGUCCCUAUCUACCGUGGGCGCUGGAAAUUUGAGAGGAUCUGCUCCUAGUACGAGAGGACCAGAGUGGACGAACCUCUGGUGUACCGGUUGUGACGCCAGUCGCAUCGCCGGGUAGCUAUGUUCGGAAGGGAUAACCGCUGAAAGCAUCUAAGCGGGAAGCCUACCUCAAGAUAAGAUUUCCCUAGGACUUUAUGUCCUCUAAAGAGCCGUUCGAGACUAGGACGUUGAUAGGUUGGAUGUGGAAGCAUAGUGAUAUGUGAAGCUGACCAAUACUAAUUGCUCGUGAGGCUUGACU
Molecule: ribosomal RNA, 2881 nt
Filed under: Acinetobacter baumannii TG02017
Lineage: Bacteria; Pseudomonadati; Pseudomonadota; Gammaproteobacteria; Moraxellales; Moraxellaceae
Description: bacterial LSU rRNA
Rfam family: Bacterial large subunit ribosomal RNA
Source: RNAcentral